GUUAGAUUGGCAGAAUACAUGCAAUUGAUUUAGGAUCAAUAGAUAUAGGUGGAAUUCCUUUAUUUAACA
This 69-nucleotide transfer RNA is filed under the name Solemya velesiana. RNAcentral describes it as "tRNA-Leu". It matches the Rfam family "tRNA". Rfam says of the family: Transfer RNA (tRNA) molecules are approximately 80 nucleotides in length. The record is from RNAcentral. Lineage: Eukaryota; Metazoa; Mollusca; Bivalvia; Solemyida; Solemyidae.